UGCGUAGGCGGUUCGUUAAGUCUGACGUGAAAUCCCCGGGCUCAACCUGGGACGUGCGUUGGAAACUGGCGAUCUAGAGUACGGUAGAGGGUGGUGGAAUUCCCGGUGUAGCAGUGAAAUGCGUAGAUAUUAGGAGGAACACCAGUGGCGAAGGCGACUUUCUGGACUGUAACUGACGCUGAGGCUCGAAAGCGUGGGGAGCGAACAGGAUUAGAUACCCCUGUA
RNAcentral lists this ribosomal RNA (225 nucleotides) under uncultured Silanimonas sp. Its description in RNAcentral is "partial 16S ribosomal RNA". It matches the Rfam family "Bacterial small subunit ribosomal RNA", at positions 568 to 792 of the family's 1533-position model. The record is from RNAcentral. Lineage: Bacteria; Pseudomonadati; Pseudomonadota; Gammaproteobacteria; Lysobacterales; Lysobacteraceae.